AUCCAGCUGACGAGUCCCAAAUAGGACGUUAGGCGUAUCCUGGAU
Non-coding RNA from Trichobilharzia regenti, 45 nucleotides. The record is from Rfam. Lineage: Eukaryota; Metazoa; Platyhelminthes; Trematoda; Strigeidida; Schistosomatidae.